RNAcentral lists this non-coding RNA (24 nucleotides) under Arabidopsis thaliana (thale cress). Lineage: Eukaryota; Viridiplantae; Streptophyta; Magnoliopsida; Brassicales; Brassicaceae. The record is from RNAcentral.
UGUUAUUGUGGAUACUGUGUUGAA